Molecule: ribosomal RNA, 792 nt
Filed under: uncultured bacterium
Lineage: Bacteria
Description: bacterial SSU rRNA
Rfam family: Bacterial small subunit ribosomal RNA
Source: RNAcentral
AGAGUUUGAUCAUGGCUCAGGAUGAACGCUAGCGGCAGGCUUAACACAUGCAAGUCGAGGGGUAACAGGGAAGCUUGCUUCUGCUGACGACCGGCGCACGGGUGCGUAACACGUAUGGAACUUGCCCUAUACUGGGGAAUAGCCCGGAGAAAUCCGGAUUAAUACCCCAUAACAUGUUCGGUGGCAUCACCGGACAUUGAAAGCUUCGGCGGUACAGGAUAGCCAUGCGGUCGAUUAGCUUGUUGGUGAGGUAACGGCUCACCAAGGCUGCGAUCGAUAGGGGGCCUGAGAGGGUUAUCCCCCACACUGGUACUGAGACACGGACCAGACUCCUACGGGAGGCAGCAGUGAGGAAUAUUGCGCAAUGGAGGAAACUCUGACGCAGCCAUGCCGCGUGCAGGAAGACGGCCCUACGGGUUGUAAACUGCUUUUAUCCGGGAAGAAUCCCUUCUACGUGUAGAAGGUUGACGGUACCGGAAGAAUAAGGACCGGCUAACUCCGUGCCAGCAGCCGCGGUAAUACGGAGGGUCCAAGCGUUAUCCGGAUUUAUUGGGUUUAAAGGGUGCGUAGGCGGAACGAUAAGUCAGUGGUGAAAGCCUGCAGCUUAACUGUAGAAUUGCCAUUGAUACUGUCGUUCUUGAGUGCGCUUGACGUGGGCGGAAUGUGCCGUGUAGCGGUGAAAUGCUUAGAUAUGGCACAGAACACCAAUUGCGAAGGCAGCUCACGAAAGCGAAACUGACGCUGAGGCACGAAAGCGUGGGGAUCGAACAGGAUUAGAUACCCUAGUAGUCC